GAUGAACGCUGGCGGCGUGCUUAACACAUGCAAGUCGAACGGAAAGGCCCUGCUUGCAGGGUACUCGAGUGGCGAACGGGUGAGUAACACGUGGGUGAUCUGCCCUGCACUUCGGGAUAAGCUUGGGAAACUGGGUCUAAUACCGGAUAGGACCGCACUUUAGUGUGUGUGGUGGAAAGUUUUUUCGGUGUAGGAUGAGCUCGCGGCCUAUCAGCUUGUUGGUGGGGUAAUGGCCUACCAAGGCGGCGACGGGUAGCCGGCCUGAGAGGGUGUACGGCCACAUUGGGACUGAGAUACGGCCCAGACUCCUACGGGAGGCAGCAGUGGGGAAUAUUGCACAAUGGGCGCAAGCCUGAUGCAGCGACGCCGCGUGGGGGAUGAAGGCCUUCGGGUUGUAAACUCCUUUCGCUAGGGACGAAGCUUUUUGUGACGGUACCUAGAUAAGAAGCACCGGCUAACUACGUG
RNAcentral lists this ribosomal RNA (465 nucleotides) under uncultured bacterium. RNAcentral describes it as "partial 16S ribosomal RNA". It matches the Rfam family "Bacterial small subunit ribosomal RNA", at positions 28 to 507 of the family's 1533-position model. The record is from RNAcentral.